This 389-nucleotide ribosomal RNA is filed under the name Phaeocystis sp. Its description in RNAcentral is "partial small subunit ribosomal RNA". It matches the Rfam family "Eukaryotic small subunit ribosomal RNA", at positions 582 to 975 of the family's 1831-position model. The record is from RNAcentral. Lineage: Eukaryota; Haptophyta; Phaeocystales; Phaeocystaceae.
AUUCCAGCUCCAAUAGCGUAUAUUAAAGUUGUUGCAGUUAAAAAGCUCGUAGUCGGAUUUCGGGUCGGGCCGAGCGGUCUGCCGAUGGGUAUGCACUGUUCGGCGCGGCCUUCUUUCCGGAGACCGCGGCUACUCUUAACUGAGCGGGCGUGGGAGACGGAUCGUUUACUUUGAAAAAAUCAGAGUGUUUCAAGCAGGCAGCUCGCUCUUGCAUGGAUUAGCAUGGGAUAAUGAAAUAGGACUUUGGUGCUAUUUUGUUGGUUUCGAACACCGAAGUAAUGAUUAACAGGGACAGUCAGGGGCACUCGUAUUCCGCCGAGAGAGGUGAAAUUCUCAGACCAGCGGAAGACGAACCACUGCGAAAGCAUUUGCCAGGGAUGUUUUCAUUA